Molecule: long non-coding RNA, 678 nt
Organism: Mugil cephalus (flathead mullet)
Lineage: Eukaryota; Metazoa; Chordata; Actinopteri; Mugiliformes; Mugilidae
Exons: 3
Source: RefSeq, a predicted model, not a curated record
CAUGCUUUCACUUCCUUUGGCUCAACAACUCCACGCUGAACUGAAAAAUAUGAUUCUUGCAUGAUUUAGUAAUAUGUUCUUUAAAAGGCGUGACAUAUGCAUUAGCUCAGAGCUUAGCAAAACAGCAACUAACCACUUCCUUUUCUCAGCGCCUCCACAUUUAUGUUUAGAGCCGACGGCAAAGUUCCAGAGUGUCAUUCUCUGUCUGAUGGUCAUGAUGUUCAGCCAAAACCAAGCAGCUCUGCUCCUCAUUGUGCUGCUAGCGCGACGUGUCUUUGCAGGGUUUGAAACUGAUGAGCACAGGAAUAUGCUGGUAUCCAGAGGAGACUCAGUCACGUUCCACUGCAACGUAUCCACAGUAAAUGCUUCGGAAAUUACCUGGAACUUUAAAAGAUUCAUUUAUAAACAUUCUGUCCUGAUAAAUCAGACGUUUUCAAAUGUAUCCUCUGACAGACUGAAAAUCGAUCUUUUAAAGUUAAAUAUUUUCAGUGCUCAACCUGAAGAUGCAGGACUUUAUUCAUGUAGUGUAACUUCCAGACGAGGCUUAAACAGUGUUUCCUGGAAUUUAACUGUGUCUGAGAACAUUAAAGAAAACAGCUCAUCAUAUUUACCAUACGUACUCACAUCUACAACUCUAUUGCUUCUAUGUGUCAUCACAUCAGCUGUCUGCCUCUGGAG